This is a long non-coding RNA of Coregonus clupeaformis (lake whitefish), 440 nucleotides long. RefSeq lists it as uncharacterized. NCBI's taxonomy places the organism in Eukaryota, Metazoa, Chordata, Actinopteri, Salmoniformes, Salmonidae. The transcript has 3 exons. The record is from RefSeq and is a predicted model, not a curated record.
GCAGCACUGACAAAGAUGCGCUUUUGGGGACGGUGCAGCAUUGCGCAUUAGCUACGCACUAUCAGAAGGCUCUACGCCCAAAUGGGGGAGUAGUUGUGUUCUGGCUGAUGAAAAGGGCCUUGCAAAGACCAUCCAGACCAUCUCCUUCCUCAACCUUUUCUUCCCACUGGUGGUACCCCUGUCCAACCUCACUUCCUGGCAGAAUGAGAUCCACUCCCCUCACUCCAAAAGCAGCAAACCAACAAUCAUCAUCAUCAUGGAUCGAGAUCAGCUCAUUUGAUUUUAUUUCAAUUUGGGAAUGAAUUAUCAAGACAUACUUGCCCAGUGCCAGUGCUAUGGGGGAGCGGUUGUGGAGUGACAGAGAUACAGCUGAAGUUCAGAAGUUGACAUACACUUAGGUUGGAGUCAUUAAAACUAGUUUUUCAACCACUCCAUAAAUG